CCUGGCUCAGGAUGAACGCUAGCUACAGGCUUAACACAUGCAAGUCGAGGGGCAGCAUGGUCUUAGCUUGCUAAGGCCGAUGGCGACCGGCGCACGGGUGAGUAACACGUAUCCAACCUGCCGUCUACUCUUGGACAGCCUUCUGAAAGGAAGAUUAAUACAAGAUGGCAUCAUGAGUCCGCAUGUUCACAUGAUUAAAGGUAUUCCGGUAGACGAUGGGGAUGCGUUCCAUUAGAUAGUAGGCGGGGUAACGGCCCACCUAGUCUUCGAUGGAUAGGGGUUCUGAGAGGAAGGUCCCCCACAUUGGAACUGAGACACGGUCCAAACUCCUACGGGAGGCAGCAGUGAGGAAUAUUGGUCAAUGGGCGAGAGCCUGAACCAGCCAAGUAGCGUGAAGGAUGACUGCCCUAUGGGUUGUAAACUUCUUUUAUAAAGGAAUAAAGUCGGGUAUGCAUACCCGUUUGCAUGUACUUUAUGAAUAAGGAUCGGCUAACUCCGUGCCAGCAGCCGCGGUAAUACGGAGGAUCCGAGCGUUAUCCGGAUUUAUUGGGUUUAAAGGGAGCGUAGAUGGAUGUUUAAGUCAGUUGUGAAAGUUUGCGGCUCAACCGUAAAAUUGCAGUUGAUACUGGAUAUCUUGAGUGCAGUUGAGGCAGGCGGAAUUCGUGGUGUAGCGGUGAAAUGCUUAGAUAUCACGAGGAACUCCGAUUGCGAAGGCAGCCUGCUAAGCUGCAACUGACAUUGAGGCUCGAAAGUGUGGGUAUCAAACAGGAUUAGAUACCCUGGUAGUCCACACGGUAAACGGUGAAUACUCGCUGUUUGCGAUAUACUGCAAGCGGCCAAGCGAAAGCGUUAAGUAUUCCACCUGGGGAGUACGCCGGCAACGGUGAAACUCAAAGGAAUUGACGGGGGCCCGCACAAGCGGAGGAACAUGUGGUUUAAUUCGAUGAUACGCGAGGAACCUUACCCGGGCUUAAAUUGCAGAUGAAUUACGGUGAAAGCCGUAAGCCGCAAGGCAUCUGUGAAGGUGCUGCAUGGUUGUCGUCAGCUCGUGCCGUGAGGUGUCGGCUUAAGUGCCAUAACGAGCGCAACCCUUGUUGUCAGUUACUAACAGGUUCCGCUGAGGACUCUGACAAGACUGCCAUCGUAAGAUGUGAGGAAGGUGGGGAUGACGUCAAAUCAGCACGGCCCUUACGUCCGGGGCUACACACGUGUUACAAUGGGGGGUACAGAGGGCCGCUACCACGCGAGUGGAUGCCAAUCCCAAAAACCUCUCUCAGUUCGGACUGGAGUCUGCAACCCGACUCCACGAAGCUGGAUUCGCUAGUAAUCGCGCAUCAGCCACGGCGCGGUGAAUACGUUCCCGGGCCUUGUACACACCGCC
Molecule: ribosomal RNA, 1381 nt
Filed under: uncultured bacterium
Lineage: Bacteria
Description: bacterial SSU rRNA
Rfam family: Bacterial small subunit ribosomal RNA
Source: RNAcentral